GAUUCUCUGCGUGUUUCUGCGUCCCUGAAAGCCGGUUCUCUGGACUUGCUGGGCACCAGGGUUUAGUCAACAUGGGUCGCUCGGGGAAGUUGCCCUCGGGUGUCUCGGCUAAGUUGAAGCGCUGGAAGAAAGGCCACAGCAGCGACAGCAACCCCGCCAUCUGCCGCCACCGCCAGGCCGCCCGCAGCCGCUUCUUCAGCCGGCCCUCAGGAAGGAGCGACCUGACAGUUGAUGCCGUGAAGCUGCACAAUGAACUGCAGUCAGGGUCCCUGCGCUUGGGCAAAAGCGAAGCCCCUGAGACGGCCAUGGAGGAAGAUGGGGAGCUGGCCCUUACCCAGAAGUCCUCGAGCACCUUCCUGAGUGGCCUCUCUGACUGCACAAACGUCACCUUCAGCAAAGUGCAGCGCUUUUGGGAGUCCAACUCGGCUGCCCACAAGGAGAUCUGCGCAGUUCUGGCUGCUGUCACUGAGGUGAUUCGCUCCCAGGGAGGGAAGGAGACGGAGACUGAGUACUUUGCUACUCUGAUGACAACAAUGGAGGCAGUGGAGUCCCCGGAGUCGCUGGCUGCUGUUGCUUACCUACUGAACCUUGUCCUGAAGCGCGUGCCCAGCCCUGUGCUUAUCAAGAAGUUCUCUGAUACCUCCAAAGCCUUCAUGGACAUCAUGUCUGCCCAGGCCAGCAGUGGCUCCACCUCUGCCCUCCGAUGGGUCCUCUCCUGCCUGGCCACCCUUCUGCGAAAGCAAGACUUAGAAGCCUGGGGCUACCCUGUGACCCUUCAGGUGUACCAUGGGCUUCUGAGCUUCACUGUGCAUGCCAAACCCAAGAUCCGGAAGGCUGCUCAGCAUGGAGUGUGCUCAGUUCUUAAGGGCAGUGAAUUCAUGUUUGGUGAAAAAGCCCCUGCCCACCAUCCUGCUGCUAUCUCCACUGCCAAGUUCUGCAUCCAGGAGAUUGAGAAGUCUGGAGGCUCCAAGGAGGCUACCACUACUCUGCACAUGUUGACACUGCUGAAGGAUGUGCUACCUUGCUUCCCAGAAGGCCUGGUGAAGAACUGUAGUGAGACUCUCCUCCGGGUCAUGACCUUGAGUCACGUGCUGGUGACUGCCUGUGCCAUGCAGGCCUUCCACAGCCUGUUCCAUGCCAAGCCUACUCUGGGCACCCUGUCUGCAGAGCUCAACGCACAAAUCAUCACGGCCUUGUAUGACUACGUCCCAAGUGAGAAUGACUUGCAACCCCUGCUGGCCUGGCUUAAGGUCUUGGAGAAAGCCCAUAUCAACCUGGUCAGGUUGCAGCGGGACCUGGGGCUGGGCCACCUCCCUCGCUUUUUUGGAACUGCGAUGACCUGUCUUCUGUCCCCACACUCACAGGUGGUGACAGCUGCCACCCAGAGCCUCAAGGAGCUCCUAAAGGAAUGUGUGGCUCCACACAUGACUGACAUCGGCUCUGUGACCUCCUCGGCCUCAGGUCCUGCCCAGUAUAUUGCCAAGAUGUUUAGGGCAGUGGAGGAGGGCUUGACAUACAAAUUCCAUGCGGCCUGGAGCUCCGUGUUGCAGCUGCUGUGUGUCUUCUUUGAAGCAUGUGGGAGGCAGGCUCAUCCUGUGAUGAAGAAGUGCCUCCAGUCCCUGUGUGACCUGCGCCUCUCCCCUCACUUCCCUCACACAGCAGCCCUAGAUCAGGCGGUGGGGGCUGCAGUGACCAGCAUGGGACCUGAGGUGGUGUUACAGGCGGUGCCUCUGGAAAUUGAUGGCUCUGAAGAGACUCUGGAUUUCCCACGGAGCUGGCUGCUGCCCGUCAUCCGGGACCAUGUCCGGGAAACACGCCUUGGAUUCUUCACUACGUAUUUCUUGCCCCUAGCCACCACUCUGAAGAGCAAAGCAAUGGAACUGGCCCAGGCAGGCAGCACUGUGGAGUCCAAGAUCUAUGACACACUCCAGUGGCAGAUCUGGACUCUGCUGCCUGGAUUUUGCACAAGGCCCACAGACGUGGCUGCCUCCUUCAAAGGUCUGGCUCGGACACUGGGCACGGCCAUCAGUGAGCGCCCAGACCUGAGAGUCACUGUGUGCCAGGCCCUGCGCACCCUCAUCACUAAGGGCUGUGAGGCAGAGGCUGACCGUGCUGAAGUGAGCCGUUUUGCCAAGAACUUUCUGCCAAUCCUCUUCAACCUGUAUGGGCAGCCUGUUGCAGCUGAGGACACUCCAGCCCCUCGCCGGUCUGUGCUGGAAACCAUCAAAACCUACCUCACCAUAACUGAGUCUCAGUUGGUGAAUGGUUUCCUGGAGAAAGCCAGUGAGAAGGUGCUUGACCCUGCCAGCUCCGACUUCACCAGAUUGUCUGUCCUGGACCUGGUUGUGGCCUUGGCCCCUCAUGCUGAUGAAGCUGCCAUCAGCAAGCUGUACUCCACCAUCCGACCCUACCUGGAGAGCAAGGCCCAUGGGGUUCAGAAGAAGGCCUACCGUGUACUGGAGGAGGUCUGUGCCAGCCCCCAGGGACCCGGGGCCCGCUUUGUGCAGACCCACCUGGACGAGCUGAAGAAAACCCUGCUGGACUCACUGCGGAGCACGUCCUCUCCCGCCAAGAGGCCCCGUUUGAAGUGCCUCAUACAUAUUGUGAAGAAGCUGUCAUCUGAGCACGAGGAGUUCAUUGCUGCCCUUGUCCCGGAGGUGAUCCUGUGCACCAAGGAGGUGUCAGUGGGUGCACGGAAGAAUGCUUUCGCCCUGCUGGUGGAGAUGGGCCACGCUUUCCUGCGGUUUGGCUCCAACCAGGAAGAGGCCCUACAGCGCUACCUCAUCCUGAUCUACCCAGGCCUUGUGGGCCCGGUGACCAUGGUUAGCUGCAGCAUCCUGGCCCUGACCCACCUCCUUUUCGAGUUUAAAGGAAUGAUGGGGACCAGCACCGUGGAGCAGCUGCUGGAGAAUGUGUGCCUGCUGCUGGCCUCCCGCACCCGCGACGUGGUCAAGUCUGCACUGGGCUUCAUCAAGGUGGCUGUGGUGGUCAUGGACGUGGUGCAUCUGGCCAAGCAUGUGCAGCUGGUGAUGGAAGCCAUUGGGAAACUUUCAGAUGACAUGCGCCGGCACUUCCGCAUGAAGCUUCGGAACCUGUUCACCAAAUUCAUCCGCAAAUUUGGAUUUGAGUUGGUGAAGGGGCUGCUGCCUGAGGAGUACCACAAAGUCCUGGUAAACAUCCGGAAAGCUGAGACCCGAGCCAAGAGGCACCGUGCCCUAAACCAGGCUGCUGAGGAGGAGGAAGAAGAGAAGGAGGAGUCUGCCCAGGGUAAAGGUGACAGCAUUGAGGAGAUUUUGGCUGACUCAGAAGAUGAAGAGGACAAUGAGGAGGAGGAAAGAGGCCGCAGCAAAGAGCAGCGGAAGCUGGCACGACAGAGGAGCCAGGCAUGGCUGAAGGAGGGUGGAGGGGAUGAGCCCCUUAACUUCCUGGAUCCCAAGGUGGCCCAGCGAGUCCUUGCCACACAGCCUGGGCCUGGCCGAAGCAAGAAGAAGGACCAUGGCUUCAAGGUGAGCGCUGAUGGCCGACUGAUUAUACGGGAGGAGGAAGGCGGUGACAAGGUGGAAGAAGAGGACACCACUAAAGGUGAGGAUGAAGAGAUGGCUGACCUGAUGGAGGACGUGGGCGUCAGAAGUAAGAAGAAGCGUAAGCAGCAGAAAGAGGCUGAGGAAGAGGAGCUAGAGAUGCCCCCUCAGUACCAAGCUGGAGGCUCUGGCAUCCAUCGUCCCAUGGGCAAGAAAGCCACUCCUGGGGCUGAAUACAAGUCCAAGCUAACUCUGUUUCUCUGGAUGAGCAGAAGGCAAAGGGCGAUGUGAAGAAGAAAGGUCGGCUCGAUCCCUAUGCCUACAUCCCCCUCAACAGAACAAAGCUCAACCGCAGGAAGAAGGUGAAGCUACAGGGGCAGUUUAAAGGUCUGGUGAAAGCUGCCCAGAGGGGGUCCCAGUUGGGACAUAAACUCUGCAGAAAGGAUCGCAGACCCUGAAGCCCCAGUGCCCCUGGGCUGCUUUUUGGUCUAUCUUGAGGCCCCCUCUUCAGAUCCUAAGCUGGUUGACAUCAGCUCCAUGCCUGGACUCAGAAUGACUUUUUGGAACCAGGGCUUAGCUCCCAGAAGUACCCAGGAUUUUGGAAGCACCAAAUGGAAACUGCCUUUUGGAGACAUCCCCAGUUCCUGGGGAUGGGACUAUGGCCUCACUGCCUCUGAGUAGGCCCUGUAAAGCAGUCUUUCUGCCAGAGUGACCAUGAGCUGCCAAGCUGGAUCUUUUCCUCCAGAGCCACAUGGCACUCAGCCUGGCCACGGUCUGCCUGUGUGAGAUCUGCUGUGACUAGGUGCAGAAUAAAUGUGCAUCACUGUG
Sciurus carolinensis (gray squirrel) is the source of this 4349-nucleotide RNA transcript. It is a transcript of the gene named ribosomal RNA processing 12 homolog, with no coding region annotated. Lineage: Eukaryota; Metazoa; Chordata; Mammalia; Rodentia; Sciuridae. The record is from RefSeq and is a predicted model, not a curated record. The transcript has 34 exons.